This is a long non-coding RNA of Suricata suricatta (meerkat), 537 nucleotides long. RefSeq lists it as uncharacterized. NCBI's taxonomy places the organism in Eukaryota, Metazoa, Chordata, Mammalia, Carnivora, Herpestidae. The record is from RefSeq and is a predicted model, not a curated record. The transcript is spliced from 3 exons.
CCCAGUUACUGAGCAGAGAGACGGAGUCGAUGCCCAGCUGUAGCGCCGUGGGGUCCCCGAGAGACGGGGGCCGGGGGGGGGCGGCAGAAUGAACCGGCGGCACUUUGGUGGAGUAAUGGCCAUGUGUGCGGAUUCCUCCAGGAGCUGGGCGCGGUGAGGGAGAGGACUUUGCCAACACGCGGUGAACUUCCUUCUCACCCUGCCAAGCCUCCCAGAGACACCAACCUCCACCACAGAAUUCUGUUGCUGCCAGGAAGGGAACAGACACCUGGGGCAAGUGUUCUCCCCAAAACACUGAUCCUCAUUCAACUUUUCCAUGAAUAUCAGAUACGUUCAGAAGGCUUUGGUUGGUGACGGCCCUGAGUUCAGGGGACCUCCCUCAUCCAUCCAGUAGGGUCAGCUCUUGCUCACUGUGGCUGCUUGGUUCCUUCUGGAAGGAGACAAAGCAUCUGCUACGUGCUAGGCACCCCCCCUUUCAUGCACACACACUUUCCAUCUGCCCCAAACCGUGUGCUUCAAGAGAAACCGCAGCCUCUU